UGCACGGAUGGGGGAAACCUGUGACUCAAGGACUACAUAUCCCCCAUAAGUCUGGUUCUUGUCCUGGGCUCCCCCCGUAUG
Anolis carolinensis (green anole) is the source of this 81-nucleotide microRNA precursor. Lineage: Eukaryota; Metazoa; Chordata; Lepidosauria; Squamata; Anolidae. The record is from Ensembl.